UACGGAGAGUGCGAACGUUGUUCGGAUUCACUGGGCGUAAAGGGCACGUAGGCGGCUCAGCAAAUCAGUCGUGGAAUCCCGACGCUUACCGUCGGAACGGCGGCUGAAAAUACUGAACUAGAGGGCGUGAGGGGUCACUGGAACUCCCGGUGAAGCGGUGAAAUGCGUAGAUAUCGGGAGGAACGCCGGAGGCGAAAGCGAGUGACUGGCGCGUUCCUGACGCUGAGGUGCGAAAGCUAGGGGAGCAAACAGG
RNAcentral lists this ribosomal RNA (253 nucleotides) under uncultured bacterium. RNAcentral describes it as "partial 16S ribosomal RNA". It matches the Rfam family "Bacterial small subunit ribosomal RNA", at positions 524 to 776 of the family's 1533-position model. The record is from RNAcentral.